This 460-nucleotide ribosomal RNA is filed under the name uncultured bacterium. RNAcentral describes it as "partial 16S ribosomal RNA". It matches the Rfam family "Bacterial small subunit ribosomal RNA", at positions 338 to 795 of the family's 1533-position model. The record is from RNAcentral.
CCUACGGGUGGCAGCAGUGAGGAAUAUUGGUCAAUGGGCGAGAGCCUGAACCAGCCAAGUCGCGUGAAGGAUGACGGCCCUACGGGUUGUAAACUUCUUUUGUCAGGGAGCAAUUGAGUCCACGUGUGGUGUUAGCGAGAGUACCUGAAGAAAAAGCAUCGGCUAACUCCGUGCCAGCAGCCGCGGUAAUAUGGAGGAUGAGGGCGUUAUCCGGAUUUAUUGGGUUUAAAGGGUGCGUAGGCGGAAUAUCAAGUCAGCGGGAAAAAUUCGGGGCUCAACCCCGUCGUGCCGUUGAAACUGAGGUUCUUGAGUGGGCGAGAGGGAUGCGGAAUGAGUGGUGUAGCGGUGAAAUGCAUAGAUAUUAGGAGGAACACCAGUGGCGAAGGCGGCUUACUGGACUGUAACUGACGUUGAGGCUCGAAAGCGUGGGGAGCAAACAGGAUUAGAUACCCGAGGAGUC